GUGGCGGACGGGUGAGGAAUACAUCGGAAUCUACUCUUUCGUGGGGGAUAACGUAGGGAAACUUACGCUAAUACCGCAUACGACCUACGGGUGAAAGCGGAGGACCUUCGGGCUUCGCGCGGUUGAAUGAGCCGAUGUCGGAUUAGCUAGUUGGCGGGGUAAAGGCCCACCAAGGCGACGAUCCGUAGCUGGUCUGAGAGGAUGAUCAGCCACACUGGAACUGAGACACGGUCCAGACUCCUACGGGAGGCAGCAGUGGGGAAUAUUGGACAAUGGGCGCAAGCCUGAUCCAGCCAUGCCGCGUGGGUGAAGAAGGCCUUCGGGUUGUAAAGCCCUUUUGUUGGGAAAGAAAAGCAGUCGGUUAAUACCCGAUUGUUCUGACGGUACCCAAAGAAUAAGCACCGGCUAACUUCGUGCCAGCAGCCGCGGUAAUACGAAGGGUGCAAGCGUUACUCGGAAU
This 460-nucleotide ribosomal RNA is filed under the name Xanthomonas citri pv. malvacearum. Its description in RNAcentral is "bacterial SSU rRNA". It matches the Rfam family "Bacterial small subunit ribosomal RNA", at positions 95 to 551 of the family's 1533-position model. The record is from RNAcentral. Lineage: Bacteria; Pseudomonadati; Pseudomonadota; Gammaproteobacteria; Lysobacterales; Lysobacteraceae.